This 420-nucleotide ribosomal RNA is filed under the name uncultured bacterium. Its description in RNAcentral is "bacterial SSU rRNA". It matches the Rfam family "Bacterial small subunit ribosomal RNA", at positions 355 to 772 of the family's 1533-position model. The record is from RNAcentral.
UGGGGAAUAUUGGACAAUGGGCGCAAGCCUGAUCCAGCCGCGCCGCGUGAGUGAUGAAGGCCUUCGGGUCGUAAAGCUCUGUGGGGAGGGACGAACGUCCGGGUGCAGAAUCCGGGGUGACGGUACCUCCUUAGCAAGCACCGGCUAACUUCGUGCCAGCAGCCGCGGUAAUACGAAGGGUGCAAACGUUGCUCGGAAUCAUUGGGCGUAAAGCGCACGUAGGCGGCUUCGCAAGUCGGAUGUGAAAUACCUAGGCUCAACCAAGGACGUGCAUCCGAAACUGCGAGGCUUGAGUACAGAAGAGGAUCGCGGAAUUCCCGGUGUAGAGGUGAAAUUCGUAGAUAUCGGGAGGAACACCAGUGGCGAAGGCGGCGAUCUGGGCUGAUACCGACGCUGAGGUGCGAAAGCGUGGGGAGCAAA